This is a long non-coding RNA of Hippocampus comes (tiger tail seahorse), 354 nucleotides long. RefSeq lists it as uncharacterized. NCBI's taxonomy places the organism in Eukaryota, Metazoa, Chordata, Actinopteri, Syngnathiformes, Syngnathidae. The transcript is spliced from 3 exons. The record is from RefSeq and is a predicted model, not a curated record.
GCCUCGCAGCGGAAGAGCUGCUGGCGCGCCUCGUUGUUCUUGGCCGUCAGGUUGCCCAGCGUGAAGAGGAGACGCACGACCAGGUCCUGCGGGAGAGACGUGUCCAGAGUUUUCUCGUGCCUCCGGAAGGGGGGGGGGGGGGGGUCAGGCGCCCUCAGCCGCCCCGGUGCUGUUCUGUCAGUCAAAUGGUGAGCAGGUGCACUUGGACGCACGCGCCUCUCAUGACCAACCCGCCCGCCGUCGUGAACGUGCAGCAACACAGGAGGUGGACGACGGCGGCGUUUCCCGACAGAAAUUUCAGCGUGCCGGCGCCGUAAAAUAGCGCUUCGCCGCACGUCGUCGCAUCCUCGCGCA